UGAUCUGUUUAAGGCAGAUCCUGAUCUAGUUAUGGCAGACUCACACUUAAUUGUUCAAAAUCAUCCAUGAAAACUACUGUAUGAACAAUAACUUUUAAUUUUUUU
Populus trichocarpa (black cottonwood) is the source of this 105-nucleotide non-coding RNA. The record is from Rfam. Lineage: Eukaryota; Viridiplantae; Streptophyta; Magnoliopsida; Malpighiales; Salicaceae.